Molecule: ribosomal RNA, 292 nt
Filed under: uncultured bacterium
Lineage: Bacteria
Description: partial 16S ribosomal RNA
Rfam family: Bacterial small subunit ribosomal RNA
Source: RNAcentral
GUGUCAGCCGCCGCGGUAAUACGGAGGGUGCAAGCGUUGUUCGGAAUUACUGGGCUUAAAGGGCGUGUAGGCGGAGUGUUAGGUGUCGUGUGAAAUCCCCGAGCUCAACUCGGGAAUGGCAUGGCAAACCGGCAUUCUUGAGGCAGGUAGAGGUGACUGGAACGACUGGUGGAGCGGUGAAAUGCGUAGAUAUCAGUUGGAACGCCGGAGGCGAAAGCGGGUCGCUGGGCCUGUCCUGACGCUGAUACGCGAAAGCGUGGGGAGCGAAGAGGAUUAGAUACCCUCGUAGUCC